Oncorhynchus tshawytscha (Chinook salmon) is the source of this 1097-nucleotide long non-coding RNA. Lineage: Eukaryota; Metazoa; Chordata; Actinopteri; Salmoniformes; Salmonidae. The record is from Ensembl.
AGACAUUUCAGAUGCAACCAUUGCCGUAUAUGAGACGUGAUGGCAUCAAUUGAGCGCGUGUUAAUGAGCACGUUGAAGUAUUUCAGCUCCUAACCUGUUCUGUGCAUUACAGACUUUCUCUGAAUACCCACUGAUUCCAUGAUAACCUUUAGUAGUCCACUCUGUGAGGGGUUUCUCCUUCACCUUCAUCUGACAGUAUUAUCUAGAAGGAUUUGGUCAGAUACUGAUGUUAAAAAUGGUGCUCUAGACUUUCAUUUAGACUCUGCAUCGUUGGCUUGGAGAGGCAUCAUGUCCAGGCUACGCUCCAACCACUGUCCGUUUAAACUGAGAGGACGGGCUUGGAGAGGCAUCAUGUCCAGGCUACGCUCCAACCACUGUCAGUUUAAACUGAGAGGACGGGCUUGGAGAGGCAUCAUGUCCAGGCUACGCUCCAACCACUGUCAGUUUAAACUGAGAGGACGGGCUUGGAGAGGCAUCAUGUCCAGGCUACGCUCCAACCACUGUCAGUUUAAACUGAGAGGACGGGCUUGGAGAGGCAUCAUGUCCAGGCUACGCUCCAACCACUGUCAGUUUAAACUGAGAGGACGGGCUUGGAGAGGCAUCAUGUCCAGGUUACGCUCCAACCACUGUCAGUUUAAACUGAGAGGACGGAAGAGGGUCCCUUCAUCUGUCGACUGUUGUCUCUCAACCCUGUCACUUUUCAGAUUGAUCUGGAAUGUAUUCUAUAAUGGAUGUAUUUUAACAUCAUUGAGUCUCAUAUCAAAAGUAUUAUAACUAGCUAACUAUAUAACAACAACAAAAAUAUGCUAAUUGUACACUUUGAGUCUUUCACUUGUUGUGAAGAUUUCACUACACAGUAUAGCUGAAUGGAAGUUGUUCCUUUUAACAACAACUGCUUCCAUUUCAUUACGAUUCAUAACCAACAAGUCAUUUCUUUUAGAGGUUGUUGAAGUUUGGAACGUUUGAUAUUUAGUGUGUUAUGUGACGAGUGUGAGGAUGGACAGGCCUUGUGGUCUUCUAAAGUGUGAGGAUGGACAGGCCUUGUGGUCUUCUAAAGUGUGAGGAUGGACAGGCCUUGUGGUCUUCUAAAGUGUGAG